AGUCCAUCUCACCCUUUGUGCAUCAUCGCGUGGGCACCCUUUGGGAUCACCUCGGAGGGGGCUCAUGUUUUCCACACAAACCCCCCCUUUUAAAAGUGUAGAAUGACCUCAUAUAUGCGCUAACACGCAAUCAAUACAACUUUCAACAACGGAUCUCUUGGCUCUCGCAUCGAUGAAGAACGCAGCGAAAUGCGAUACGUAAUGUGAAUUGCAGAAUUCAGUGAAUCAUCGAAUCUUUGAACGCACCUUGCGCCCCUUGGUAUUCCGGGGGGCACACCCGUUUGAGUGUCGUGAAAACCUCAACCUCCUUGGUUUCUUCUGGAGACCAAAGCAGGCUUGGACUUUGGAGGCCUUUGCUGGCACCUCUGCCAGCUCCUCUUAAACAGAUUAGCAGGGUCCCCUUUGCUGAUCCUUGACGUGUGAUAAGAUGCUUCCAUGUCUUGGUUUCUGGCUCUGUCACUUUUGGGACCCGCUUCUAACCGUCUGGACCUCGCGUCGAGACAAUGUUCGAGCAUGUCUCCCUUCUCGGGAAGCUCCCUUGACCCCCACGAACCCUUGACCUCAAAUCGGGUGAGACUACCCGCUGAACUUAAGCAUAUCAAUAAGCGGAGGAAAAGAAACUAACAAGGAUUCCCCUAGUAACUGCGAGUGAAGCGGGAAAAGCUCAAAUUUAAAAUCUGGUGGCCUUUGGUUGCCCGAGUUGUAAUUUAGAGAAGCGUCUUCCGCG
RNAcentral lists this ribosomal RNA (727 nucleotides) under uncultured Lactarius. RNAcentral describes it as "eukaryotic LSU rRNA". The stretch from base 138 to 291 matches the Rfam family "5.8S ribosomal RNA". The record is from RNAcentral. Lineage: Eukaryota; Fungi; Basidiomycota; Agaricomycetes; Russulales; Russulaceae.